CGGGGCUCUAGCUUUCCUUGUCUCCGGGAUGUCACCACGUACCUCCAUCUUCUUUUUCUCAUUUGCUACGAUCAAGACGGUUGAUGAUCACUGCGGGCUAUGGUUGCCCGGAAAUCUCUUCCAUAUCUUCUUUAAAAACAACUCCGCUUACCAUGAUAUCCAUCACCAACUUUACGGGACCAAGUAUAACUAUUCACAGCCUUUCUUUGUGACGUGGGAUAGGAUACUUGGUACCUACAUGCCAUAUGAACUUGAGAGGAGACCAGAAGGAGGUUUUG
This 278-nucleotide unclassified non-coding RNA is filed under the name Hevea brasiliensis (rubber tree). The record is from RNAcentral. Lineage: Eukaryota; Viridiplantae; Streptophyta; Magnoliopsida; Malpighiales; Euphorbiaceae.